CCUGCUCCUUGAGGCGCUGCAGAUGUGGCUGCUGUGUAACAGGUGUGCCAGCAGAUGGCAGAGAGGAGAGAGGCUCUGCUUAUGCUCAGUGUUCUGAACUGUGAACAUCUGAAUACCUAAUAAUCCCUGAAA
This is a small nucleolar RNA of Rattus norvegicus (Norway rat), 132 nucleotides long. Ensembl annotates it as small nucleolar RNA SNORA17. NCBI's taxonomy places the organism in Eukaryota, Metazoa, Chordata, Mammalia, Rodentia, Muridae. The record is from Ensembl.